RNAcentral lists this ribosomal RNA (505 nucleotides) under alpha proteobacterium enrichment culture clone LiUU-12-15. Its description in RNAcentral is "bacterial SSU rRNA". It matches the Rfam family "Bacterial small subunit ribosomal RNA", at positions 340 to 862 of the family's 1533-position model. The record is from RNAcentral. Lineage: Bacteria; Pseudomonadati; Pseudomonadota; Alphaproteobacteria.
UACGGGAGGCAGCAGUGGGGAAUAUUGGACAAUGGGCGAAAAGCCUGAUCCAGCAAUGCCGCGUGUGUGAAGAAGGUCUUCGGAUUGUAAAGCACUUUCGACGGGGACGAUGAUGACGGUACCCGUAGAAGAAGCCCCGGCUAACUUCGUGCCAGCAGCCGCGGUAAUACGAAGGGGGCUAGCGUUGCUCGGAAUGACUGGGCGUAAAGGGCGCGUAGGCGGAACAUACAGUCGGAUGUGAAAUUCCCGGGCUCAACCUGGGGGCUGCAUUUGAUACGUGUGAUCUAGAGUGAGGAAGAGGGUCGUGGAAUUCCCAGUGUAGAGGUGAAAUUCGUAGAUAUUGGGAAGAACACCGGUGGCGAAGGCGGCGACCUGGUCCUUUACUGACGCUGAGGCGCGAAAGCGUGGGGAGCAAACAGGAUUAGAUACCCUGGUAGUCCACGCUGUAAACGAUGUGUGCUGGAUGUUGGGCAACUAGUUGCUCAGUGUCGUAACUAACGCGAUA